UAGGGGAAUAUUGGGCAAUGGAUGAGARUCURACCCAGCCAUACCCGCGUGGUGGAAGAAGGUCWUCGGAUUGUAAAACACAUUUUGCAGGAGAAAAAGUCGGGGCUGCGGCCUUAGGUGAUGGUAUACUGCGAAUAAGCACCGGCUAACUACGUGCCAGCAGCCGCGGUAAAACGUAGGGUGCAAGCGUUGUCCGGAUUUAUUGGGUUUAAAGGGUACGUAGGCGGUWGGAUAAGUCAGUGGUGAAAGGUAGCCGCUCAACGGUUGUUAUGCCAUUGAUACUGUUUAACUUGAGUACGAGAGGGGUUACUGGAAUUUGUGGUGUAGCGGUGAAAUGCAUAGAUACCACAAGGAACACCGAAAGCGAAGGCAGGUAACUGGCUCGUAACUGACGCUGAGGUACGACAGUGCGGGGAUCAAACAGGAUUAGAUACCCUGGUAGUCCACGCUGUAAACGAUGAUAACUCGUUGUUGGCAUUUGAUGUCAGUGACUAAGGGAAACCGAUAAGUUAUCCACCUGGGGAGUACGGCCGCAAGGUUG
This 541-nucleotide ribosomal RNA is filed under the name uncultured Chlorobiota bacterium. RNAcentral's name for it is "bacterial SSU rRNA". It matches the Rfam family "Bacterial small subunit ribosomal RNA", at positions 354 to 896 of the family's 1533-position model. Lineage: Bacteria; Pseudomonadati; Chlorobiota. The record is from RNAcentral.